Molecule: long non-coding RNA, 4904 nt
Organism: Esox lucius (northern pike)
Lineage: Eukaryota; Metazoa; Chordata; Actinopteri; Esociformes; Esocidae
Source: Ensembl
UCUUUGGAUAAGAGUACUUUAUUCAUAUCAUAUAUAUGUUGUUUACAUUUUUACAAAAAUACAGAAUACAGUAGUUGCCCAGCUUUCGCCUGGGUCACAAUUACUUUUUGUUUUGGCACCCAGGCUAACUUCCUGCCUACACGCCUGUUGUUUGUUUUCCUCAGUGGAACACAUAGACGCAGAAUUCCCCAAUUAUAAUAAUAGAAUUCUAAAUAUGGAAUUCUAUUUCUAUUGACCUGGUCCCAGAAGCACUGUUCAGGGACCUGGUCAUUUCAAUCUAAAUAAGCAAAAAACAUAUAAUAAUUAAUACCAGAACAGAGCUCUCUUCAUCAUGGACCACAGGACUGAGGCUCCAUGGAAACACACUGUGGUUACUUUCCAAACAAACCCUAUUCAUUACAGUACUGUGAGGGAGAAGUACACUCCCUGAAAACCACUUUGUUUUUGUUUCAUAUUUUUACAUGUAUUCAUUUAUCGUAAUUUCAACACUAUUGACAGGUAAACUUAACCUAAUUUAUUGAAGAACACUGAAAAUGAUAAGUUGCAAUAGUUUACAUAUUUAAUAACAAUAAAAGUAAUUUUCUUUUGCAGAAAACGUUAGUACACCCAUAGAUGUAUUAUCCUAUCAAACAAUCAGGUGCAUUAAAACAGGUAUAGAAAAUCAUCAAAUUCCACUGAAAUUCAACACUACUGUUGUUUGCUCCUUGGGGUUUAAGGUCGAGUGUUUCUGUAAAAGCACUUUGUGACAUCUGCUGAUGUAAAAAGGGCUUUAUAAAUACAUUUGAUUGAUUGAUUGAUUGAUUAAAGAGCAACUUAUAUACAUUCCUUACAUAAAAAAAAAAUGUUUGGUCUUUUUUUUAUACAUGUAUAAGAUCUUACCUAUAUCAAAAUAACUCUGAGGCCUGCAGAAGGAAGGUCUUUGUUCUGCAAAAAAAACCUCCCAGUCAAUUUUGGAGUUUGAUAAACUAGAAAGGCCUAUAUUAAGUUAUUUACAGUAAUGGUGGCAACAUUUGCACAAUUAUAUUUUUAUAGAUACAAAUAUGUAAAUAAUUAUUGCAAAGUGUAAUUUCUCAGUGUUACUUGGUAAAUGAAGUUACCUUUAUGUGUCAAAAGUGUUGAAGAUCAUAUAUCCAUAUAUUUAAUCACACAAUGCUUUCAUAAAGUAUUCAGACCACUUCAUUUAAACCACAUUUCGUUAUGCUAUUGAUUAAAUUUAUAAUUGAUUGCUUAAAUUUCUUUGCCAUAAGUCUACAUGUAAUGACAAAGCAAGAACACUUUCCAUUCGUGCCAAUUUAUUGAGGAAAGUAUUCAAACAUUUUCCUCAGAACUUUGUAGGACUUUUGACAAUGAUUACGGCUUUGAGUCUCUUUUCGGUUUGCCUCUAAUGGCUUUUUAUUUGGGCAUUUUCUCUAGAUCCUAUCAAUAAGAUUGGAUGUGGAGCAUUGGUGAACUAAGAUCUUCAGAUUUUCCCACAGAUGUUCAAUGGGAAUCAGGUAUGGGCUUUGACUGGGCCACUCAAGGACAUUCACAGACUUGUUCCAAAGCUAAAGCGUUGGAUGUGUGCUUCAUGUCAUUGUCAUGCUGAAGGAUGAAUCUUGAGCCAGUCUGAGGUCUAAUGUGCUCUGAAUCAGGUUUUCUUCAAGGACCUCUCUGUUUUUUUCUGUGUUCAUCCUUCCCUCAAUCCUGACCAGUCCCUGCCGCUGAGAAGCCUGACCAUAGCAUGAUGCAUCCAUCACCAUGCAUCUUCAUAGGUAUGACAUUCGCAAGGUAAUUGUUUUCUCCAGAUGUUGUGACUGACAUUCAGGCCUAAUAGUGAGGAUGUAUCUGAGCUUAAAUGAAUUAAAACAAACUUACAUUUUAUUUUUUUGCUUUGUCAUUUUGGGGUAUAGUGUGUAGAUAGACAUAACAAAAUGUGAAGAAUGCACUCUACUGUUAAAACGUUUGGGGUCACUUAGAAAUGUUUUAUUUUCCAUGAAAACAAUGGCUUUUUUUCAAAUGAUCUUCCAUUUGCAGCAAUUACAGCCUUGCAGACCUUUGACAUUCUAUUUGUUCAUUUGUUGACAUAAUCUGGAGGGAUUUCACCCCAUGCUUCCUGAAGCACCUCCCACAGGUUGGAUUGGCUCGAUGAGCACUUUUUAACGUACCAAACAGUAAAACUGCUCCCACAACAGCUCAGUAAGGUUGAGAUCCGGUGACUGUGCUGGCCACUCUAUUAUAGACAGAAUACCAGCUGACUGCUUCAUCCCUAAAUAGUUCUUGCAUAGUUUGGAGCUGUGCUUUGGGUCUAUUUCAAGCGCCAAAUCAUACAUGGCAUGGUGUUGCAAAAUGAAGUGAUAACCUUCCUUCUCAAGAUCCCUUUUAACCUGUACAAAUCUCCCACCUUACCACCACCAAAGCACCCCCAGACCAUCAGAUGAUUGACAGAUGUCUUCAAGCACUCCUGCAGCCUCUUUACAUUUGGUCUGCGUCCCACAAUUGUUCUUAUUUGUAAUUGGAACACCUCAAACUUAGCAAUCAUUCUCUUUCCAGUGUCUGUGUUUUGGCCUUCUUAAUUAUUUUCUUAUUAUUGUCCAGCCUGAGAUGUGCCUUUUUCUUUGCAAUUCUGCCUAGAAGGCCAGCAUCCUGGAGUUGCCUCUUCCCUGUUAACAUUGAGACUGGUGUUUUGAGAUUACUAUUUAAUGAAGCUGCCAGUUGAGGACCUGUGAGGCAUCUGUUUCUCAAACUGGACACUAAUGUAUUGGUCCUCUUGCUCAGUUGUGGACCGCAGCCUCCCUCUGUUCUUUCUAUUGUGGUUAGAGCAGGUUUGCGCAGUUCUGUGAAGGGUGCAGUACACAACAAGAUAAUUCGUUUCUUGUCAAUUUUUCGCAUGGAAUUGCCUUCAUUUCUCAUAACAAGAAUCGACUGAUGAGUUUCAGAAGAAAGUUAUUUGUUUGUGGCCAUUUUGAGCCUGUUAUCAAAUCCAAAAUUGCUGAUGCUUCAUAUACUCAACUCGUCUAAAGGCCACACAACAUGCCAUUGAAAAACCACAGGACUGAUGGUUGCUGAUAAAGGGCCUCUGUAUGCCUAUGCACAAAUCCAGGUAGCAGCGUUGAAAACACCACAAGUGAGGGAAUGCGUGUAUUGGUAAAAGUACUACAUAUGGUCGAGCAUCAAACUUAAUACAAAAGGUUAAGUUCUUCAUAACGUCUGUCAACAAUAGGAGUGUAUGCCUAUUUGAGGGCUUGCAUUUCUGCAUUUGCACAACUGUGUAUCGAGCAGUUUUAUUCAACAUGUAAGAUAGCAACCAAAUUGUGCAAAUAUGCUGCUGUUUUCCUACAUACUCUUAAUUCAUAUAAUAGUUGGGUUCCUUCUGGAUAAGGAGCUAAAUAUUCACCUCACAGAUUAUACCACUUUUCAAAAUGUAUAAAUAUACUAGUAAUUUAAAAACCUUAUAUUCUGGGAUUUGGUGUAUGUGGAACACUUUCAAAUCUUAUUGUUACCACCAAAACAGAUGUUUUAGCUGAAUUUGGCUUUUCAAAAAGUUGAACUUGAGUGCAACUGUAACAAUGCUGUAUAUGUGCAAUACACAGAAAAUGCAUUAUGGCUGGUUAGGCUGCCAUGCUGAAGUGUAGGUACCUCUGUAACUGCUGCUCAUCUGGUGAACCUCAAUCUCCAGAAUCUGAAUCUGAUACCAUAUCGGUUCACUUUAGGCUAGACCACCUCAUUGCUGUGCAUUGAAGGCAUAGACAGACCUUAAGUUAUUAAACCCUUAAAUGUUAAUUUCUGUCAGUAUGGAUAUGUAAGAUCUACACUUGAUCUAAAACAUAAUUUGUUACUGUGUACAGUGAGUUAAAUGGAAGUUAGUCAAAGCAGCACAUCUGUGUUCAUCCACACCUCCAACAAAUGCCUUUCCUAGGACCCUUUCAUAAACAACACCAUGUAUGUGUGUGUAAAUAGCUCCAUGUUUCUCUUAAGAAUAUACUACAUAACACAUGUUCAUACAUGCUUGUGUGCUGCUUGUGUAGGCUUUAUGCAUGGCAGAAGUAUGGGUUAUGUAGUCCUUAUAAUGUGCCUGUAGUCAUUUGGGGCUCCAUUCAAUCAAACCUGCAUUGCAGUAUUUACACAGUAAUUAUUUUUCCAAUGGUGAAACGAACUCAGAAAUUAUAUUACUGGUCACAGGCCUGCUUAUUGAAAAUAAGGUUGAAUAUUGAAAAUAAAAACACUGAGUAAAUAUUGCUAUGGUGGGUUUAGAUAAGCUGAUUAAUUUUCUUUUUUUCCCACAACCGCAGCAAUAAGCUGCUAUCAGCAUUUCGAGUAAAUAAAUAAAUACAUCACACAUGGCCAAAAACAUAAACAAAACAGAUGGUUAGAUCCGUUAAUAUUUCUAGCUAACUAAUUUGAACAUUUGUUCUCAGGGAGUGGAAUGCUGCUGAGAAAAAGGUGAGUUAAGUAAGGGCGACUAGAGGUAGUCCUUUAUGCUUUAGAAAGCCAUUUGUAGGAGGUUUUCUCUGCCCCAUUCUUCAGUAAUAGACCUCCAGCCAAACCCACACAAUGUUCUUAUGGGGGAAGGCUUUUUCCCGUUCACUGUGUUUUUGUCAUAUUUCAAUAAUUUUUAGUGCCUCCAGAUGUUUCCACGGUGAUGUUACUCUUCUUUUAGCUUCCCUUGACGAAAAUGUUAUAGUAGACGAUGGAUUAAUAUAUUAAUGUACGAAGAAAUCAAGCUUUCCCCACCUCAUAGCAGGUGUGAUACAACAGAGUAGACAUCCAUUUGGUCCAUGCAAUGCCAUUCUCUGGUUCUCUUAUGUGAGCACUGACAGUUUCUGGGCAGGAAUGAAGUCUUUCAUCUCAGAAAUAUUCGUAAGAAAUUCUGUUUUUUACGUUUGCUUUUGUUUGGUUGCUCUUUCUCCGAAGCGCCUAUGUAUACC